Molecule: unclassified non-coding RNA, 381 nt
Filed under: uncultured Alphaproteobacteria bacterium
Lineage: Bacteria; Pseudomonadati; Pseudomonadota; Alphaproteobacteria
Description: contains 16S-23S intergenic spacer region
Source: RNAcentral
UCCGGUUUGUCACCGGCAGUCUCUCAUGAGUCCCCGGCAUUACCCGCUGGCAACAUGAGACGGGGGUUCCGCUCGUUGCGGGACUUAACCCAGCACCUCACGACACGAGCUGACGACAGCCAUGCAGCACCUGUCUCCGGUCCAGCCGAACUGAAGGAAUCCAUCUCUGGAAUCCGCGACCGGGAUGUCAAGGGCUGGUAAGGUUCUUCGCGUUGCUUCGAAUUGAACCACAUGCUCCACCGCUUGUGCGGGCCCCCGUCAAUUCCUUUGAGUUUUAAUCUUGCGACCGUACUCCCCAGGCGGGAUGCUUAAUGCGUUAGCUGCGCCACUGAAGGGUAAACCCACCAACGGCUAGCAUCCAUCGUUUACGGCGUGGACUAC